RNAcentral lists this ribosomal RNA (774 nucleotides) under uncultured Neocallimastigales. Its description in RNAcentral is "partial large subunit ribosomal RNA". It matches the Rfam family "Eukaryotic large subunit ribosomal RNA", at positions 22 to 647 of the family's 3401-position model. Lineage: Eukaryota; Fungi; Neocallimastigomycota; Neocallimastigomycetes; Neocallimastigales. The record is from RNAcentral.
CAUAGCGACUAUCGUGGCAUAUCAAUAAGCGGAGGAAAAGAAACUAACAAGGAUUCCCCUAGUAACGGCGAGUGAAGCGGGAAGAGCUCAAAUUUGAAAUCUUCAAGGUUUGACCUUGACGAAUUGUAGUUUAUAGAAGUGUUUUCUGUUAGUGGAGUGGCAAAAGUUCUUUGGAAUAGGACAUCAUAGAGGGUGAGAAUCCCGUAUUUGGUCAUUCCUCCUAGCGUUGUGAUACACUUUCAACGAGUCGGAUUGUUUGGGAAUGCAGUCCAAAAUGGGUGGUAAAUUUCAUCUAAAGCUAAAUAUUGGCGAGAGACCGAUAGCGAACAAGUACCGUGAGGGAAAGAUGAAAAGAACUUUGAAAAGAGAGUUAAACAGUACGUGAAAUUGUCAAAAGGGAAGCGUUUGACACCAGUGUUGUUUUUCCGAAAAUCAAUUACGAAUGUUUUGUUUUUAAGAAGUUAUGACUUCAUCGGCUUGCUUCUUUCUUUACGAAACUUUCUUAAUGCACUUUUCGGUUAACAAGUCAACAUCAAUUUCUUUUGUUGUAAAAGGGUAUGAGGAAGGUGGCUUUCUUUUCGGAGAAAGUGUUUAUAGCCUUGUGCCUCUGCAAUCGGAGAGAUUGAGGUCUGCAGCGUAGAUCCUUCGGGGUUAGAUACGUUUGUGCUAAGUUAUAGCUUUUCAUAGACAACUUGUUGACUAUGUUUAGUCUUGUAGCUUACUCGCUUAUGCUAUUUUACCUACGCUUAGGAUGUUGACGAGACUGUCGAUCUC